Long non-coding RNA from Etheostoma cragini (Arkansas darter), 439 nucleotides. RefSeq lists it as uncharacterized. The record is from RefSeq and is a predicted model, not a curated record. The transcript is spliced from 4 exons. Lineage: Eukaryota; Metazoa; Chordata; Actinopteri; Perciformes; Percidae.
UGUUGUUUCUGUGGGCCAUUUUCUUUUUUUUUCGGUUCUUUAUUAUUCUUAUUUCGUACGUUUUUUGGUUCACCGUAACUUCUGCAUACUUUCAGCUAUUUAAACCAUUCAACUUUUCAAAUCUUCAGUCUUUCAGCAGAUGAUGGGACUUCUUCAAUUGUUUUUCAACUAUUUAUACUUUUUCAAAUAUUAAGCUUUUAAACAUUUUAUUUUAACAUUAAAAUCAAUAAGAGCAAGCUUCAAAUCCUUCAAAUCUUCUGCUGCUUAAAAAUGUAUCUCCUCCUACAUUUUUUCACCGACAGACGUGAUUCAAACUUAAACCAUUCACGAAACAUUCAGGUAUUCAGGGUGUGCUCAGUGUUUUGUGAAAAAGCUGUUUAAGUAUAGUGAACAUUUUAGGCUUUUUCUGCAUUAAUAAUGAGUGUGUAUUGCGUGAAGC